This is a long non-coding RNA of Melopsittacus undulatus (budgerigar), 773 nucleotides long. RefSeq lists it as uncharacterized. The record is from RefSeq and is a predicted model, not a curated record. NCBI's taxonomy places the organism in Eukaryota, Metazoa, Chordata, Aves, Psittaciformes, Psittaculidae. The transcript is spliced from 4 exons.
GGAGGCUCUGCGUGACUGUUUGCUGAAGUCUUCAUCUAGAGAUGACUACUGUUUGAUUCUGAGAUAGCAGAGACAGCCCAAAACCACUGACAUAAGCAGUUCCUGAGGGGUGCACCUUCCAGAAUUGAGAAGCUAUACAGAGAACUUCUGGCACUGGAACAGUCAGAAGAGAAGAAAACAUGCUGAUAUGAUUUAACUUCAGUCAUAACUCAUGCACCCAAAAUGUAACAAAACGAACAACGCCAAGAACAAACUAGCAGCUAUUGAUAAAAUUUGAAGGGAGUCUGAUGCAGUUCCAGAGGCAGGAAGCCAUGGGAUCAAAGGGAAUUAGGAUCUUCCCUGUAGUGACUGAAGUCACCAGGCUCAUGAAGAGAGACUAAAAGAAGAUGUAUGGGGACUCUCCUGUCUUUGUGGAGAAGAGCAAUGUGCUCUACAAAGCUGGGUGAACAGCCUACCCCAUCAGCACAGGAAAACCUGGGCUGGGAAGAGAAAUCCAAGCAGAAAAUUGCUUCAGCCAUGGCUGGCCUCAGAAGGUUAAUCACAGAGGCACAGGAGAAAUAUGGGCAAGAUCAAGUGGAAAUCUGAGGAGGUGGAUGCUGAACACACAGAUAAAAUCUCUGUACUACAUGUAAUCCUGUCUUUUCUCUGAUUUGCCUAGGAAUCAUCUUGCAGUGCCCCUCUGGUGGCGGCUAUGCCACAUGGAAGUGCUCAUGUUCAGCUGGUUCGUGUAAUUCAUCCUUCACUGUCUGUGUUAUUUCGCUUGUAGUUUUGUG